Molecule: ribosomal RNA, 1924 nt
Filed under: Glossilus sp. NJAUEriZ236
Lineage: Eukaryota; Metazoa; Arthropoda; Arachnida; Trombidiformes; Eriophyidae
Description: 18S ribosomal RNA
Rfam family: Eukaryotic small subunit ribosomal RNA
Source: RNAcentral
UGUAAAGUUCAAGCUCCGAUUAUGAGGGCGAAACCGCGAAUGGCUCAUUAAAUCAGUCAUAAUCUACUUGAUUGUUUAAAGUUUAUAUGGAUAACUGUGGUAAUUCUAGAGCUAAUACAUGCACAAAGGGGACGACUCUCGCUGUCAAAGGUGGGAGAAGUUCUGCGUUUAUUAGACUAAGACCAAUGGAAACUGCAGCAAUGUAGUUUUUCAUUUAAUAAAGGUGACUCUGAGUAAAUAAUGGGUGAAAGCCCAUGUUGCUGACCUGACAUCUCAAAAGGCUUGUUUCGCAAGAUCAAGUCUGUCAGGCAAAUCAAUCGUGUGUCUGCUCUAUCAACUGUGGAUGGUAGGAUAAUUGCCUACCAUGGUGAUGACGGGUAACGGGGAGUUAGGGCUCGACUCCGGAGAACAAGCCUGAGAAACGGCUAGUAGGACUAAGGUCUGCAGCAGGCGCGAAACUUACACAAUGCUAGAUUACAAUUAGCGAUGUAGUGAAGAAAAAUAACGAUGUACUUCCAUUUAAACAUGGUAGUACAAUUGGAAUGAGACGACUAUAAAUCAGUUAGUCGAGUAACAAAUGGAGGGCAAGUCUGGUGCCAGCAGCCGCGGUAAUUCCAGCUCCAUUAGCAUACAUUAAAGUUGUUGCGGUUAAAAAGCUCGUAGUUGAAUUUUAGGCAGGCUCUAUUGGGCAGCAUCCGUUAAGGUUCUUUGGGUAGGGCCUCAGAUUUAUAUCGGUUGCGUACCCCCCCUCUGGACGGGUUGUUUUCCCCCUGAUAGGAACUUGCUGUUUCGCCACUUAAUCAAGUGCAAAGCGAGCUGGUACAAGGGCCCAUAAUUUUCGAGUUUUGGUAUUCCGGUUUCAGCAUGUUUACCUUGAGAAAAUUAGAGUGCUCACAGCAGGCAGUUGGGGUGUAAAAGCUCCUUUAUGCUUGAAUAAUGUUGCAUGGAAUAAUAGAAUAUGGCCUCGGUUCUAUUCUGUUGGUCUUAUAGAACAACAAACAAGUUGGUUAAAGCAACCAAAAGUCUCUUUGUGGGCGUGGCUUUAACCAAUGUCGUUUAUUGGACUCUUCCCAAAUCCUGGUAUCUCUAACUCAUCAAACUCUGUUGUCUGGGGCCUUAAAAUCUCAUUACCAGGUUGGGUUGGGGUCCGUUUCUAAUUGGGUUCGUGAACGUUCCUGUCCUUAUUGUCAUUUAAAGCGCUACUUAUUCAACUAGCUUUUCAAUCAACUGAGGCAAUGGUUAAAAGAAAUAGUCGCGGCGGCAUCAGUACUGCAUCGUGAGAGGUGAAAUUCUUAGACCGAUGCAAGACUAACUGAAGCGAAAGCGUUUGCCGAGGAUAUUUUCAUUAAUCAAGAACGAAAGUUAGAGGUUCGAAGGCGAUCAGAUACCGCCCUAGUUCUAACCAUAAACGUUGCCAACUAGCAAUUGGGUUGCGAUUCCUUUAAUCGAAGCUUAAAACCCUUCGAUCAUUAUGAUCCACCCAGCGGCUCUCGUAGGGAAACCAAAGUGUUUGGGUUCCGGGGGAAGUAUGAUUGCAAAGUUGAAACUUAAAGGAAUUGACGGAAGGGCACCACCAGGAGUGGAGCCUGCGGCUUAAUUUGACUCAACACGGGGAAACUUACUAGAUUAGAACUCUGGAAUGAUUGACAGAUUGAUAGCUCUUUCUUGAUUCAGAGGAUGGUGGUGCAUGGCCGUUCUUGAUUCGUAUUCCGAAACGUCUGCUUAAUUGCGAUAACGAGUGAGACCUCACCCAACUAACUAGUCGUUUGGUGCGCUGUGGAACGCAAAAGUCUAGGUGGGAUUUCUGUUGAUUGGUAGGUUGGUAGCAAUAUCAAUUUGCUGGUUAGCUGCCCAUUUUAGAUGUUCUCUGCUCGCCAGCGGACUUCUUAGAGGGAUAAACGGUGUUUUAGCCGUAAGAAACGAG